This 482-nucleotide ribosomal RNA is filed under the name uncultured Polaribacter sp. Its description in RNAcentral is "bacterial SSU rRNA". It matches the Rfam family "Bacterial small subunit ribosomal RNA", at positions 28 to 505 of the family's 1533-position model. Lineage: Bacteria; Pseudomonadati; Bacteroidota; Flavobacteriia; Flavobacteriales; Flavobacteriaceae. The record is from RNAcentral.
GAUGAACGCUAGCGGCAGGCUUAACACAUGCAAGUCGAGGGGUAACAGGGGUGCUUGCACUCGCUGACGACCGGCGCACGGGUGCGUAACGCGUAUAGAACCUACCUUUUACAGAGGGAUAGCCUUUAGAAAUGAAGAUUAAUACCUCAUAGUAUUGAGAGUUGGCAUCAACUUUUAAUUAAAGAUUUAUCGGUAAAAGAUGGCUAUGCGUCCUAUUAGUUAGAUGGUAAGGUAAUGGCUUACCAUGACUAUGAUAGGUAGGGGUCCUGAGAGGGAGAUCCCCCACACUGGUACUGAGACACGGACCAGACUCCUACGGGAGGCAGCAGUGAGGAAUAUUGGACAAUGGGUGAGAGCCUGAUCCAGCCAUGCCGCGUGCAGGAAGACUGCCCUAUGGGUUGUAAACUGCUUUUAUACAGGAAGAAACACUCGGACGUGUCCGAGCUUGACGGUACUGUAAGAAUAAGCACCGGCUAACUCCG